CUCUGCAAGUGUAGCAAGUGCUCACCACUGAGCCAUCUCUCCAACCUACAUAUUUGUAUUAUUUAAAGAAGAAGUACAAAAGUGAGGCUGGAGAGAGAGUUCAGAGUGUGGAUUGCUCUUCUAAAGGACAACAGUU
Molecule: microRNA precursor, 136 nt
Filed under: Mus pahari (shrew mouse)
Lineage: Eukaryota; Metazoa; Chordata; Mammalia; Rodentia; Muridae
Description: microRNA 3473g (MGP_PahariEiJ_G0007361.1)
Source: RNAcentral